This is a long non-coding RNA of Chelonia mydas (Green sea turtle), 1032 nucleotides long. RefSeq lists it as uncharacterized. The record is from RefSeq and is a predicted model, not a curated record. NCBI's taxonomy places the organism in Eukaryota, Metazoa, Chordata, Testudines, Cheloniidae. The transcript is spliced from 4 exons.
AGCCUGCGGCUAAGCCAGCCCUUGAUUGCAAGAUGAGCCCCACAGGAGAGCAACCAGGUGAUUCCAGUAUAAAAGGCAGCAGGCACCUGCAGGCAGGGUGUGUUUGAAAGCGUAGCUGAGACUUCCAGAGGCAGGAGGAAGCCUGGCAGUAACCCAGGGAAGCCCAGAACACAGGAGGUUGUGUGGUGCUGGAGCUGGGGGAAGACAGCACUGCAGAGAGCACGCAUGGUUCUACAGAGCCCGAGCCAGACUCUCCUCGGGUUCCUCGCUGGUAAAACACAAACAUCCCUUCAUUCCAGAGAGCUCCCUUGCCAUCAUGUGUCGAAGACGCAUUUCCUUGAAAGAUGUGAACUUGGAUUCCCCCAACCUUCUAUGCAUCAGUAAUGAAAAUGGAAAGUGAUAGCUUUAAUCUCGUAUCUGUUAGGCCAGGAAACCUCAUAUGACACCUCUUGGAGAGAUCUGCACAAUUUAAUGAACAUCAUCAUACCAGACAGGCAUGUGGCUGGAUUUCCUCGUCUCCUUGCGGAACGAAUUAAUGCCCUACCGGUCUGAAACAAGAUAAAGAAAUAAAUAGAGAAUUCUUAUCCCUAGUUGCAGAUAAACUGCAACAUUCACCACAAAGGAUUCCUGGAAUGAAACAGGCACCUCUCCAUUGAAAGUGCUGAUAAAUCCUAUGCAUCCAAGGCUGGCUUAAUCCAGCUCAAGCUAUCGGAAAAUCUCUAGGGACCCAGCAGCACUGAGAACAGCUAUUUCUUGUCAUGCUACAGUUCUCACAUUGACAGAUAAUCUCCUUGGGCCAGGCUGACAAAAUGCUCAAGAUUGAAUCCCGGGGUUCUUUCCCCUAUGGGUUUAGACAUGUUCCUUCCUCUGGCAAAAAGUCCAUUGGUUUCAGGGAGGGUUGUGCCCAAGGAAGGACCUGGCCUGGAGUUCGGUGAUCAUGUUCUCCUACCGGCUAACCAGGACCUCAUUUUGCAUCCUCGGUGUGAGAGAGACUUCCAUACGUCAUCUUCCGGCUGAUUUGGCUGUGCAAGA